CAGAGGGGGCAAGCGUUGUUCGGAAUUACUGGGCGUAAAGGGCGCGUAGGCGGCCUGCUAAGUCGAACGUGAAAUCCUUGGGCUCAACCCAGGAACUGCGUCCGAUACUGGUUGGCUUGAAUCCGGGAGAGGGAUGCGGAAUUCCAGGUGUAGCGGUGAAAUGCGUAGAUAUCUGGAGGAACACCGGUGGCGAAGGCGGCAUCCUGGACCGGCAUUGACGCUGAGGCGCGAAAGCCAGGGGAGCAAACGGGAUUAGAUACCCCGGUAGUCCUGGCCCUAAACGAUGAAUGCUUGGUGUGGCGGGUAUCGAUCCCUGCCGUGCCGAAGCUAACGCAUUAAGCAUUCCGCCUGGGGAGUACGGUCGCAAGGCUG
Molecule: ribosomal RNA, 372 nt
Filed under: uncultured organism
Description: bacterial SSU rRNA
Rfam family: Bacterial small subunit ribosomal RNA
Source: RNAcentral